GUCCUCAAAUUUACCUUGACAUUGGCAUCAUAGCUGGCAUUGUCAUUGUCACUGUGAUUGUCUUUGCAUUGAUAGGAAUGGCUGAUCAGGAGCAGGCUGGUACAACUACAAGUCAGGACUCAUUCUGUGCAGAAUGUUGCAACGACUGCUGGAAAUGUUGUAGAGGUUUUGUAUCCUGUUGUUGUACUGAAUCCCUCAACAUAGCUUGUGACAUAUGCUGCUGUCUAUUUUAAAUGGAAAAAUUCAUCAACAAUAACCGCUUCCCUCCUCCUUUGGAUGCUGUACACACUACAGUUAUUGUCAGUUGAUUGCCUGGGCUCACCUUUCAUUUCACAGAAUACGAAGUGUUUAUAUAUAAAUAAAAAUAAUAACAAUAAUAAUAACAAUAACAAUACAUUGUAUGUUAAGCACCUUUCAAAACACUCAAGGUCAUCUUACGCAAAAUAAGUAAAUGAUAAAAUAAUAGAAAAAAAAUACCCACCCCUCUCUUUUCACAUCAGAGAUAUCCCAUAUUC
This is a long non-coding RNA of Oreochromis aureus, 515 nucleotides long. The record is from Ensembl. Lineage: Eukaryota; Metazoa; Chordata; Actinopteri; Cichliformes; Cichlidae.